AGUGAACGCUGGCGGUAGGCCUAACACAUGCAAGUCGAACGGCAGCACAGUAAGAGCUUGCUCUUACGGGUGGCGAGUGGCGUACGGGUGAGGAAUACAUCGGAAUCUACUUUUUCGUGGGGGAUAACGUAGGGAAACUUACGCUAAUACCGCAUACGACCUACGGGUGAAAGCAGGGGAUCUUCGGACCUUGCGCGAUUGAAUGAGCCGAUGUCGGAUUAGCUAGUUGGCGGGGUAAAGGCCCACCAAGGCGACGAUCCGUAGCUGGUCUGAGAGGAUGAUAAGCCACACUGGAACUGAGACACGGUCCAGACUCCUACGGGAGGCAGCAGUGGGGAAUAUUGGACAAUGGGCGCAAGCCUGAUCCAGCCAUACCGCGUGGGUGAAGAAGGCCUUCGGGUUGUAAAGCCCUUUUGUUGGGAAAGAAAAGCAGCAGGUUAAUACCCCGCUGUUCUGACGGUACCCAAAGAAUAAGCACCGGCUAACUUCGUG
This 492-nucleotide ribosomal RNA is filed under the name uncultured bacterium. Its description in RNAcentral is "partial 16S ribosomal RNA". It matches the Rfam family "Bacterial small subunit ribosomal RNA", at positions 29 to 507 of the family's 1533-position model. The record is from RNAcentral.